UAAGGGCGCACGGUGGAUGCCUUGGCACUAGAAGCCGAUGAAGGACGUUACUAACGACGAUAUGCUUUGGGGAGCUGUAAGUAAGCUUUGAUCCAGAGAUUUCCGAAUGGGGAAACCCAGCAUGAGUUAUGUCAUGUUAUCGAUAUGUGAAUACAUAGCAUAUCAGAAGGCACACCCGGAGAACUGAAACAUCUUAGUACCCGGAGGAAGAGAAAGAAAAUUCGAUUCCCUUAGUAGCGGCGAGCGAAACGGGAAGAGCCCAAACCAACAAGCUUGCUUGUUGGGGUUGUAGGACACUCUAUACGGAGUUACAAAGGACGACAUUAGACGAAUCAUCUGGAAAGAUGAAUCAAAGAAGGUAAUAAUCCUGUAGUCGAAAAUGUUGUCUCUCUUGAGUGGAUCCUGAGUACGACGGAGCACGUGAAAUUCCGUCGGAAUCUGGGAGGACCAUCUCCUAAGGCUAAAUACUCUCUAGUGACCGAUAGUGAACCAGUACCGUGAGGGAAAGGUGAAAAGCACCCCGGAAGGGGAGUGAAAUAGAACCUGAAACCGUGUGCUUACAAGUAGUCAGAGCCCGUUAAUGGGUGAUGGCGUGCCUUUUGUAGAAUGAACCGGCGAGUUACGAUUUGAUGCAAGGUUAAGCAGUAAAUGUGGAGCCGUAGCGAAAGCGAGUCUGAAUAGGGCGUUUAGUAUUUGGUCGUAGACCCGAAACCAGGUGAUCUACCCUUGGUCAGGUUGAAGUUCAGGUAACACUGAAUGGAGGACCGAACCGACUUACGUUGAAAAGUGAGCGGAUGAACUGAGGGUAGCGGAGAAAUUCCAAUCGAACCUGGAGAUAGCUGGUUCUCUCCGAAAUAGCUUUAGGGCUAGCCUCAAGUGAUGAUUAUUGGAGGUAGAGCACUGUUUGGACGAGGGGCCCCUCUCGGGUUACCGAAUUCAGACAAACUCCGAAUGCCAAUUAAUUUAACUUGGGAGUCAGAACAUGGGUGAUAAGGUCCGUGUUCGAAAGGGAAACAGCCCAGACCACCAGCUAAGGUCCCAAAAUAUAUGUUAAGUGGAAAAGGAUGUGGCGUUGCCCAGACAACUAGGAUGUUGGCUUAGAAGCAGCCAUCAUUUAAAGAGUGCGUAAUAGCUCACUAGUCGAGUGACACUGCGCCGAAAAUGUACCGGGGCUAAACAUAUUACCGAAGCUGUGGAUUGUCCUUUGGACAAUGGUAGGAGAGCGUUCUAAGGGCGUUGAAGCAUGAUCGUAAGGACAUGUGGAGCGCUUAGAAGUGAGAAUGCCGGUGUGAGUAGCGAAAGACGGGUGAGAAUCCCGUCCACCGAUUGACUAAGGUUUCCAGAGGAAGGCUCGUCCGCUCUGGGUUAGUCGGGUCCUAAGCUGAGGCCGACAGGCGUAGGCGAUGUAUAACAGGUUGAUAUUCCUGUACCACCUAUAAUCGUUUUAAUCGAUGGGGGGACGCAGUAGGAUAGGCGAAGCGUGCGAUUGGAUUGCACGUCUAAGCAGUAAGGCUGAGUAUUAGGCAAAUCCGGUACUCAUUAAGGCUGAGCUGUGAUGGGGAG
Molecule: ribosomal RNA, 1563 nt
Filed under: Staphylococcus aureus
Lineage: Bacteria; Bacillati; Bacillota; Bacilli; Caryophanales; Staphylococcaceae
Description: partial 23S ribosomal RNA
Rfam family: Bacterial large subunit ribosomal RNA
Source: RNAcentral